CUGAGGCUCUCACUGAGACAAUAAGGAAGAAUAAUGAGAAGAAUGAGAAAAGACCAGCGCCCCCACCCCACAAGAAUAACCAGGUUGUAUGAGGUUGAACCAUGAAACGACUAACAAAAUAACUUGUAUGCACCUCUCCCAGUGAUGCUUGAGUUCAAGACCGGCUUCGCAGGAAAAGAAGAAAGUGAGAUCCUCUUGUAAUUUCAUUUCCUAUUUUUCUGUUUCGCUCCAACCCUGGAAAAUUCUCUGUGACCUUCAUCUGUGACACACAAGAGCUUACUGCAUUGGCUGAAGCCAAGUCCUGUCUCUUUACAGAUACAACAAAAAAACUGGGAGCCCUCUCCCCAGGAAGCCUCCAUUGAAUACAUCUGCUGGCCCACUCCUCCUGCCCUCAGCGGCCUCGCUGCCCCCCACCCCAUGUGCAUAUGUGGAGUUGUGGCCUCUCUGCAGGGCAAUCUGGAAAGGGGCAGGAAAAUGCAAACCACGUUGCUCAAAUGUCUCCAGGCGCCCAUUGGAAAACACCUACGCGGAAGAGAUCAUGGAUGCUCUUAUUUUUUUGGUGCACACAGUCUUCACAACAGAUGUACACUUCAGUGAAAUAGUCCCGCACUGUAAAAAAGAAAGAAAGAAAAGCAAAAAGAAAUAUUCAUUUCAAAACCAAUGUAGUCAUUGCUCUAAGUUAUACCAUAACCCAGUUUGAAAUAGGACGGGAAGCAAUCCACUAAUAUUUUGAUCUAUUGCUAAAUUCAAGUUCAGAAAUUUAAAUGCCUUAUAGCUCAUUAUGUGAAGACCAUCUUUGGCCAUUAUAUUUAGAAUAAGUACCUGGUUAUCAA
This 833-nucleotide long non-coding RNA is filed under the name Marmota monax (woodchuck). Lineage: Eukaryota; Metazoa; Chordata; Mammalia; Rodentia; Sciuridae. The record is from RNAcentral.